Molecule: long non-coding RNA, 775 nt
Filed under: Marmota monax (woodchuck)
Lineage: Eukaryota; Metazoa; Chordata; Mammalia; Rodentia; Sciuridae
Source: RNAcentral
CUUUGAAGUAAAUUGCUAAUAAUUGACAUAUAUUAAAUGUCUUGUUAAAUGUUACUCAAUCUAAGAUUUAAUGUUUUAUUCAGUACAAUUGAACUAUAGAAUAAAAGUUACCCACUUGUCAAAAUUUGAGCACCAUGGGCUGGAGUGUAUCUCAGUGACAGAGCACAUGAAGACCUGGGUGUUCCAUCCCUGGCACUGCAAAAGAAAAAAAAAAAAAAGGAAAGAAAGAAAAAAGAAAAAUUUUGAGCACCAGGCACAAGAAAUAAAGAAAGUUUCAACAGAGAAACAUGAUGUGUUAAAUUUUUUGUGUGCUAAUUCAGGAAGUAGCUCAGAUGAGUAAGAAACCUAAGUUAAAUCAGACAAUGUGUAAACCAGUAGGGUUAGGACUCAGCUUUUAAGAGCAUAUGAAUGCACGUGUGAGCUCUUGCUUAUACAGAGAGAGCUUUCCACAUUAAUUACUUGUGAGAAAUUGUGAUUACCUUUAACAGAGUUGAGACCAAAAAUAACUCCUGGAGUGUCAGUAAUUUGCCAGGCUGCUGCCAGGGAGGCUGUAUUUGCCUGAGGAAAUCUGCAGUUCUCCCAUGUCACCGGAAACCUCGGGUCACUUAGACUGUGGGGACUCAAGCACGACUUAAGAAAAUGUACUCAUUUUAGAUGACAUGGAAUGGCCCACAUAAACCCCCCUGCAGCAUCAUCUGUUGAAGUAGCAAAUGUUUUAAAUGGCCUUUCCUAUUUUGAGUGUUAAACAUACAUUCAGUAGAAGACAACAUUGGAG